RNAcentral lists this ribosomal RNA (468 nucleotides) under uncultured bacterium. RNAcentral describes it as "partial 16S ribosomal RNA". It matches the Rfam family "Bacterial small subunit ribosomal RNA", at positions 28 to 507 of the family's 1533-position model. The record is from RNAcentral.
GACGAACGCUGGCGGCGUGCUUAACACAUGCAAGUCGAACGGAAAGGCCCUGCUUUUGUGGGGUGCUCGAGUGGCGAACGGGUGAGUAACACGUGAGUAACCUGCCCUUGACUUUGGGAUAACUUCAGGAAACUGGGGCUAAUACCGGAUAGGAGCUCCUGCUGCAUGGUGGGGGUUGGAAAGUUUGGGCGGUUGGGGAUGGACUCGCGGGUUAUCAGCUUGUUGGUGGGGUAGUGGCUUACCAAGGCUUUGACGGGUAGCCGGCCUGAGAGUGUGACCGGCCACAUUGGGACUGAGAUACGGCACGGACUCCUACGGGAGGCAGCAGUGGGGAAUAUUGCACAAUGGGCGGAAGCCGGAUGCAGCAACGCCGCGUGCGGGAUGACGGCCUUCGGGUUGUAAACCGCUUUCGCCUGUGACGAAGCGUGAGUGACGGUAAUGGGUAAAGAAGCACCGGCUAACUACGUG